This 492-nucleotide ribosomal RNA is filed under the name uncultured bacterium. Its description in RNAcentral is "partial 16S ribosomal RNA". It matches the Rfam family "Bacterial small subunit ribosomal RNA", at positions 29 to 507 of the family's 1533-position model. The record is from RNAcentral.
AGUGAACGCUGGCGGUAGGCCUAACACAUGCAAGUCGAACGGCAGCACAGUAAGAGCUUGCUCUUACGGGUGGCGAGUGGCGGACGGGUGAGGAAUACAUCGGAAUCUACUUUUUCGUGGGGGAUAACGUAGGGAAACUUACGCUAAUACCGCAUACGACCUACGGGUGAAAGCAGGGGAUCUUCGGACCUUGCGCGAUUGAAUGAGCCGAUGUCGGAUUAGCUAGUUGGCGGGGUAAAGGCCCACCAAGGCGACGAUCCGUAGCUGGUCUGAGAGGAUGGAUCGCCCAAACGGAACUGAGACACGGUCCAGACUCCUACGGGAGGCAGCAGUGGGGAAUAUUGGACAAUGGGCGCAAGCCUGAUCCAGCCAUACCGCGUGGGUGAAGAAGGCCUUCGGGUUGUAAAGCCCUUUUGUUGGGAAAGAAAAGCAGCAGGUUAAUACCCCGCUGUUCUGACGGUACCCAAAGAAUAAGCACCGGCUAACUUCGUG